Molecule: RNA transcript, 2782 nt
Organism: Setaria italica (foxtail millet)
Lineage: Eukaryota; Viridiplantae; Streptophyta; Magnoliopsida; Poales; Poaceae
Exons: 5
Source: RefSeq, a predicted model, not a curated record
ACCGAGACGGAACGGAGAACGGCCGCAGCACAACACCAAGCCCAACCCAACAGCAGCCAGCAAACUCUCGCACCACCACCACCUCCCUCCUCCUCCGACGCAGCGGCAGGCCUGCAGCCGCCGGCGCCGGCGCCGUCCCGGACCACCCGAGCCCCCGCCGUCCCUACUCGGCAAGCGGAGCGUCCCGCGAUAGCCCGCCUCGGCGGCCCCUCGCGACAGCUGCAGCAGCGCGUGGAGCCUGACGGGAGCUGCAGCAGGCCCCGAUCGCUCCCGCCACCCUCCGCCUCGCCCGCGUCCGCGCGCGCGCAGAAGAAGCAAAGAGACAUUUCAAGUUUGGCAGUGUAGUAUCAGAUUUCAAAUUGGAAAUUAAAGUUUCUACUGGGCAUUUUGUGGGAUUCUCUUUGUGGCUCAGCUGUAUUUAUAUGGAAUCACUUGCCUGAGAAAUGCCGUCCUCUACACCACCAUCAGUGCAACCAGCACCAAGCGUUCAACCAGUACCAUCAUCUGCAGGACAGAGUACACGUAUUGAUGUUCGUGAGAUCAAGUCCAAGAUUUUUAAAAGGAUUGGGCCUGAACGAGCAAGAAAGUACUUUCAGCACCUAGAGAGGUUCUUAUCUUCAAGACUGAGCAAAAAUGAAUUUGAAAAGCUGUGCCUUGUGGCACUUGGCCAUGAGAAUCUCCCAUUGCAUAACCACCUCAUACGUUCUAUCCUACACAAUGCCAGUAGAGCAUGUGGCCCACCUGUAAUUAAUGAUCCUAAGUUGGUCAGAGGUGCCACCCCAUCUGGCCAUGCAUUUGUUCCUCCUGUCUGGGACAACGGUAGUGCUUUGAACCAGAAUGUCAAAGAGAACAAACCAUCAAGCAGAAGGGAAAAUGCAUUAACCCAUAAGUCAUCACUGAACCAUUGUGCGACUAUUCAGGAGAAUGGUGUUCAUCAUUUGAGUGAUCUGAAGAGAUGUACACAAGUUCAAAAAGGUGAACAUGUGGAACCGCUUAUCAAGCGACCGCGUCUGGAGAAGGAACCAUUCAGUUUACACUCCCUGCAUAGCAAUGGAUCUGCUCUGCCUUCAGGAGAGAACCUGGGACGAGAAAUUAUACACCAAUCCCAAGGUCCAGUUCAAGCUCCACUUGGCAUUCAGUUACGUCCUGGUAGUUUUGCUGGGUUCCAAAAACCCUCAGCCCUUGCUUCUAUCAGUUCAAAGGAUACCUCUGAUACUUGUAUUGAAUUUGGUGAACUAUGUGAUACUUUGUCGGUGAAGAAGAGGAUGGACAAAAUAGCAGAAUCAGAAGGGUUGGAAGGGGUGUCAAUAGAGUGUGCCAAUUUGUUGAAUAAUGGUAUAGAUGUUUUCAUUAAGCAGUUGAUUGGACCUUGCGUUGAAUUAGUAACAGCAAGGUCUCAACUUGGCAAACUAAGAAAUGAGGCAUUGAAGCAGCAACUUCGCCGAAAACUAAUAAAUGGUGUGUCACUGCAAAAUCAUAUUCCUGGGCAAGGUGGUAUUAUACCUCCAGAGACAAAUUCCAUCUCCAUGCAGGACUUAAAGGCAGUGAUGGAGUUAAACCCUUGCUUGCUUGGGGUUAAUGCAUCACUGCUACUUGAAAAGAUUAAUUCAUACGACUAGUUGGAUGGAGCAGGUUGGAAUGAUCUCCUCACAAGGUUCUAGGAUCUUGAUGGCGUGUCUUGCUUCAUGGCUGUUCUAGUCAGGCCACUAGGUGGAAAAUGCUGAUGAAUUCUGUGUGCAGUGUCCUGAUUGUUUGGCAUCUCAGCUCCAGUGCAAUUUUCCAGAAUAAGCAAAGAUCUGCUUAUCCACUGGUGCUGCAUUUUAGAACUCAUUCAUUUCAUGCACCUAAGCACCACUAUUGCAAAAGUGCUUCAGCGAGAACUAUGGUGCUGGCUAAACAAAUUGAGGAGCCAUAUCACAGAUUUGAUCUGAUUGAGUCACGGCCUACCACCUCAUCUGCUGCCUGCAGAUAACCUGCUGCAAGUGAUACAAAGAUAGGAUAGUGUGAGAUAAAAGCCUGGUGGCUCUUUCUCCGCUGUUUGCAAACGAUUUGUUCAUAAUCACAGUUUACUGGGAAACUUUCCCGCCUUCAGGCAUUCACUUACGGAAGUGCAAUAAUGCAACAAGCCACUCCGCUGGUUUAUCCAUGUUGACUAAUGUCUUCAGCCUAUCUUCCCAGUGAAGCAUAGGCAACAUCCCCAGUGACAACUCUACCAAUUGAAACAUGAGACUCCAAUUUGUGCCCGGCACGGACACACGAGGGUUGUGUAUAUACGGGUUUCGUAGCUGAGGAUGGUCUGAAAAUGGACUUUCAGGAUGAUCGAUUUGGUAGCUACCAACCAUUUUCCAUUGUUGAUUCUAGCAGAACUGGAGAUCAGGGGUAGCAUCCACCGUCCAGUACGCAGGCUUUGCGAAAGAAAAGAGCAGCAAGGUUUUGUGCGCAUCUACAGGUCGAGCACGGUGACAUGUAAGCUGUGGCUGGAGAUCCAAACAGAGGGCCGGCCGCCUCUGGUGGCGCUGAUCCAGUUCCAACAUGUUACUCUUGUCGCUCAAACGGAACUGAAUUGACAUGGUAUUUUUAAUGAAAAAGUUAAAAGUAUUUUUCUUAAAGAGUAGACAGGUUAACAUGAUAGACUAAUUCACAAAUAAGCUCCUCCAUGCUAGGCUGCUAGCAGUAGUUCAGACUGGUAGUUUUCUUGGCUUGCACCGUCGUAAUUGCUUUGACAAAGUCGUCCUCAUGUGUCACCUGCAAAAAUGAUUCAUGGUAGCUUAUAUAUGUUUCC